This 491-nucleotide ribosomal RNA is filed under the name uncultured bacterium. RNAcentral's name for it is "partial 16S ribosomal RNA". It matches the Rfam family "Bacterial small subunit ribosomal RNA", at positions 28 to 506 of the family's 1533-position model. The record is from RNAcentral.
GAUGAACGCUAGCUACAGGCUUAACACAUGCAAGUCGAGGGGAAACGACAUCGAAAGCUUGCUUUUGAUGGGCGUCGACCGGCGCACGGGUGAGUAACGCGUAUCCAACCUGCCCACCACUUGGGGAUAACCUUGCGAAAGUAAGACUAAUACCCAAUGAUAUCUCUAGAAGACAUCUGAAAGAGAUUAAAGAUUUAUCGGUGAUGGAUGGGGAUGCGUCUGAUUAGCUUGUUGGCGGGGUAACGGCCCACCAAGGCAACGAUCAGUAGGGGUUCUGAGAGGAAGGUCCCCCACAUUGGAACUGAGACACGGUCCAAACUCCUACGGGAGGCAGCAGUGAGGAAUAUUGGUCAAUGGACGAGAGUCUGAACCAGCCAAGUAGCGUGCAGGAAGACGGCCCUAUGGGUUGUAAACUGCUUUUAUAAGGGAAUAAAGUGAGUCUCGUGAGACUUUUUGCAUGUACCUUAUGAAUAAGGACCGGCUAAUUCCGU